RNAcentral lists this ribosomal RNA (253 nucleotides) under uncultured bacterium. Its description in RNAcentral is "partial 16S ribosomal RNA". It matches the Rfam family "Bacterial small subunit ribosomal RNA", at positions 524 to 776 of the family's 1533-position model. The record is from RNAcentral. RNAcentral also lists the same sequence under 1 other name.
UACGGAGGGAGCUAGCGUUGUUCGGAAUUACUGGGCGUAAAGCGCACGUAGGCGGCGACUCAAGUCAGAGGUGAAAGCCUGGAGCUCAACUCCAGAACUGCCUUUGAAACUAGGUCGCUAGAAUCUUGGAGAGGCGAGUGGAAUUCCGAGUGUAGAGGUGAAAUUCGUAGAUAUUCGGAAGAACACCAGUGGCGAAGGCGACUCGCUGGACAAGUAUUGACGCUGAGGUGCGAAAGCGUGGGGAGCAAACAGG